AAUCAACGCUGGCGGCGUGCCUCAGACAUGCAAGUCGAACGCGAAAGUUUCCUUCGGGGAACAAGUAGAGUGGCGCACGGGUGAGUAACACGUAGGUAAUCUACCUUUGGAUGGGGAAUAACAACCGGAAACGGUUGCUAAUACCGCAUAAUGCAGCGGCACCUAAUGGUGACAGUUGUUAAAGCGGGGGAUCGAAAGACCUCGCGUCUGAAGAGGAGCCUGCGGCGGAUUAGCUAGNGGUAAGGUAAUGGCUUACCAAGGCGACGAUCCGUAACCGGCCUGAGAGGGCGGUCGGUCACACUGACACUGACAUACGGGUCAGACUCCUACGGGAGGCAGCAGUCGGGAAUUUUGGGCAAUGGGCGAAAGCCUGACCCAGCAACGCCGCGUGAAGGAUGAAAUCCCUCGGGAUGUAAACUUCGCAAGAACGGGAAGAAUAAGCGAGAGUUAAUAUCUUUCGUGAUGACGGUACCGUUUGUAAGCUCCGG
Molecule: ribosomal RNA, 488 nt
Filed under: uncultured bacterium
Lineage: Bacteria
Description: bacterial SSU rRNA
Rfam family: Bacterial small subunit ribosomal RNA
Source: RNAcentral